CUUGACCGAGCCGAGCAGCAGCGGGUUGUCGGCCUCGCGGCCCUGGCCGUAGGUGGCCAGCAGCGCCUGGGCCUC
RNAcentral lists this antisense RNA (75 nucleotides) under Streptomyces albidoflavus. RNAcentral's name for it is "ASpks TB sRNA". It matches the Rfam family "ASpks TB sRNA". The record is from RNAcentral. RNAcentral also lists the same sequence under 3 other names. Lineage: Bacteria; Bacillati; Actinomycetota; Actinomycetes; Kitasatosporales; Streptomycetaceae.